This 491-nucleotide ribosomal RNA is filed under the name uncultured bacterium. RNAcentral's name for it is "bacterial SSU rRNA". It matches the Rfam family "Bacterial small subunit ribosomal RNA", at positions 28 to 502 of the family's 1533-position model. The record is from RNAcentral.
GAUGAACGCUAGCGGCAGGCUUAAUACAUGCAAGUCGAGGGGCAUCAAGGUACACGAAAGUGUAUUGUUGGCGACCGGCGGACGGGUGAGUAAUAGGUAGGUAACCUACCUCAUACUGAGGCAUAGCUGGGAGAAAUUCCAGGUAAUUCCUCAUGAGGUUAUAUGACACAUGUGAUAUAAUCAAAGGUAUCGCAAGGUACUGGUAUGAGAUGGGCUUACUGACCAUUAGCUAGUUGGUGAGAUAAGAGCUCACCAAGGCGAAGAUGGUUAGGGGUUUUGAGAGAGAGAUCCCCCACAUUGGAACUGAGAUACGGUCCAGACUCCUACGGGAGGCAGCAGUGGGGAAUUUUGGACAAUGGGCGCAAGCCUGAUCCAGCCAUGCCGCGUGCAGGAUGAAGGCCUUCGGGUUGUAAACUGCUUUGUACGGAACGAAAGACUCUUUCUAAUAAGAGGUCCAUGACGGUACCGUAAGAAUAAGACACCGGCUAACU